This is a non-coding RNA of Xyrichtys novacula (pearly razorfish), 1699 nucleotides long. Lineage: Eukaryota; Metazoa; Chordata; Actinopteri; Labriformes; Labridae. The record is from the annotation of a GenBank genome assembly.
CCAAUGCAGACUUAUCUUUGAUUGAAAAUUGCCUUAUUAAACCUAUGAAGCAGGGGCGGUUUCAGGAGAUGGACAAGGGUGACCAUGCCCACCCCAAAUAAUAAGGGAUUGGCCACCUAAGAUCCCUGAAAUCUGAUUGGCUAUCUGCCUUUAAAGAAGGAGGACUUAUGUUUGAAAAAAAUCAACUUCACUUUUAUUCAGAUACUAGACACCUUCACAACCCCUUAAUAAUUUAAAUUAUUGAAAUGCUGCCACCUUUUAACUCUUUAAAGGUACAGUGUGCAGUAUUUAGAAGCACUUCGCAGAACAGACUUGGUAGAAAUCAAUUAAUGUUAAAUUGCUUAAACGUAAAAAUUGAUGAACUUAGAAUAAGUAUUUUGUAUUAACAUAAGGAGUUUCAAUUUAGAAAUUAAAUGCAACACAUAAUAUUUUAUUUAAGACAGAAAUGGUAAAUAAACUGUAUUUAUGCAAGUGGGCACGGCAACUUCAUACUACCCUGACGAAAUAAAGUGCAUAAACUGGUCAUAUCUGUCAAUCAAAUCUGGCUCCACCCCUGCUGUUGUGGCAUAUAUGCUGUCAUAAAUGCAAUAAUGUUGCCUCGAAAAAUAUACAUCCUAUGUUAUCUUCUCUUUGCUGUCAGGUUUGCUCUGAGUGAAAUGAAGGCAGACAGUAUUCCUGAAGGCAUUUUACUGAAACUGAUGUCAGCAUGUCCAUGAAAAAAAAACUCUCUGAGCCGCUAACAGUCAGCAGUACUGUAUGUGAUUAACCUAAUUAUGCAUGGUAGUCUAAAUUGAAAUGCACUGUAAAUUCAGGCAUUAACGUCUAGACUGAGCCCAGCAUGUAAUCAAGUUGAUUUAUGUCGCUGCAACAUCACAGCACAACUGAGAGCUCUCAUUAAUGAAGUACUGUUUAUCGUCUGCAUCCCCCGUUUUUCCUUUUGUCAUCAUUCCCCUCUGAUGCUGCAGAUUCAAGUCCUCCUCCUCUUCCUCCUCCUCCUCCUCCUCCUCCUCUGCUGGGUGGACCUCCUCUCCCUGGAGGGGGCCUUCAUACGGAUGCUCUCAUCGCAAAGUGUCAGCCGCAGCACAAACCAGCAGACAGGACAAACAAGAUUUCUCCCAAAGCCCUCACCACCCUGCCUCCAUUUGUGCUCUGUCUGGCCCUGACUGCUCAGGAAAAGCCUAACUGAUGUUAUCAGCCGAGCCUUCUGGGGGCGCAGAAAACCUAUUAGAGGUCUGAAAGUUUCCAAUACCAAAUUCAGAAAUCAGAUAUGGAGGUGGAAAUAUGAGGUGAGGCAGGGAACUGCUGACCUGAGGGUAGGUAAGGUUGAAAGCAUUAUGGGCAGGUACAGAGGCCCUGAAGGUCGAGUGCAAAAACAUUUCAUUAAACACAAAAAAUACUGAACUAAACUGCAAAAAACAUAUAAAGUAACACAAAAUUUUUGACUUAUGGUGAGACUGACUCAUUUACCAAACAUUAGUUAACAUAAAACAUUCAUAAAGUGCAAAAUGUUUUUAAUGAAACAAAAAAAAACAAACUUAGAAAAUAUUAAAGUUUGUGAUUUGUGAAAAAAAAAACUCGAAAAGAAUGAUUUAAAGCAAGUUAUUGGUUUUCAAAAAUUUUUGUUUCUUUUUGUGAAUUUUUUGUUUGAUGUUUUAUUGUACUUUAGUGAAAGGUUUUUGAGGGAUUUAUUUUACAGGUU